AUGUAAGUCAUAAAAUACACACAAGAAAAUUUAUGAUUCUUCUAUCACUGCUGGUCAUCACUGCUGGUCACUGUUCCGCAGCUUUUUGGUGAUAUUUCAUCGCCAUCGCCAUGCUCGAUUAUCAGUGCUUGCGUUUCUGCUCGCGCUUUGAGCUUCUCUAUUUUGAGAUUCUCAUGUUCGAUCAUUACUGCUCGCCCUUCAUCUCUGAUUUCUUCCAAUUUGUCGGCGUUCUUCUGCUAGUAUUCACCAUUGGCAGUCACUAUUCUGCAGGAUGGAACUCAAGUGCAGCUAAUGCCACUAAGUUCCAGAAAUAUCUCGCCGCAGAAAAUGGAGGAGGAGCUGAUCUUGUUGCCAACUGUACUUCAGCUUCAGCUUCAGGUUGGGAAACAUUCAAGCUAUGGAGGGUUAGUGACACAUCCUUCAAUUUUAGAGUGUUUAACAAGCAAUUUCUUGGGAUGGAAAAUCAAGGUAGUGGAAGGUUCAAUCGGAGACAUCAAUGACGAGAAUGGUUCCAAAGAUGCCCAUCGUAUUUAGCUUUUUUUCCUUUUAAGUACAUUUAUUUUUUUAAGGGUCUUUUAUUUAAUUAAUUUGCCAUAUUUUGUUAAGGGUCUUCUUGAUGAAUGAAUAUUGAAAAUGAUUUUCAUUUUCCAUCCGUUUAAAGUAGAAAGAAAAGAUUAUGGAUUAGGGUAGUAGCUCACCAACUUGCAUUGAGAGGUGUGGCAGAUUGCAAGUCGUUGAGUGACACCACCCACCUAAUAACAGCAUUAUUGAAGCCCCACCUUCUAAUAGAAGAACUCUAGAUACCUUUGGCCAGAGAACUUCAAUAUACCGUGGCGUAACAAGACAUAAAUGGACUGGAAGAUAUAAAGGUCAUCUUUGGGAUAAUAGCUACAGAAGGGAAGGACAAUCAAGAAAAGGUAGCCAAGUGUAUUUGGGUGGAUAUGAUAAAGAAGAUAAAGCAGCUAGGCUUAUGAUUUGGCUGUAUUGAAGUAUUGGGGGACAUCCACUACUACCAACUUUCCUAUCAGCAACUAUGAGAAGGAAUUGGAUGAAAUAAAACACAUGACAAGACAAGAAUUUGUAGUCGCCAUAAGAAGAUUUAGUAUAUGGGACAAGUCAAGCAUGGAUAUAAAAUAUGCAAGUAGAUUGACAUCUUGUUGAUAAAUAUUAAUUACUAUUUUGUUAUGACAAUUAUUGUUAGACAAGAAUUUUAUUA
Arachis ipaensis is the source of this 1216-nucleotide non-coding RNA. NCBI's taxonomy places the organism in Eukaryota, Viridiplantae, Streptophyta, Magnoliopsida, Fabales, Fabaceae. The record is from RefSeq and is a predicted model, not a curated record.